Non-coding RNA from Onthophagus taurus, 1400 nucleotides. The record is from RefSeq and is a predicted model, not a curated record. Lineage: Eukaryota; Metazoa; Arthropoda; Insecta; Coleoptera; Scarabaeidae.
UUACAUGAACAACUUUUUGCUCUGUUUUACAUAAUUUGAUAUAUUGUACAGCUUUUGGUGAUUCGUUUCAUUUAAUUCAGCGUUCCGUACCAGAUCACUUAAUUUACGGAUUGAUUUAUUAAUUGAUUUAUGUUUUAUAUCUUACAGUGCAGGAAGAAUAAUGACCAUUCAUGCAUCCUGUUUUAUUAAGAAUUGUUUAAGCUCAAAGUUUAUAAUACAUCACUUUCCAAACCCAUGUAAACAACCAGAAGGAUAUAGAGAAAUGGGUUAACAUGUAUGGUAAUUAAAUACCACUAAUAGAUAUUGGUGGCAAUGAAAAAGCGGACAAGCUGGCCAAAGAGGCAACAAAAACGCCUUUUAUUGGACCCCAACCUGGCUGUGGACUACAAAAAAGCAACUUAAAGUAGGCAAUCAAUAGUUGGGAGGCCUCAAAGGUAGCCUUACACUGGAAAGAACUUACAGGUCAAAGAAGACCUUGGAGCGAUACUAAGGUUCAUCAAGGACAUACAUUUGCCCUAAACCUUUGAAGGGCUUAAGUUACAAUAGAUCUUAUAGGUUGCUGUGAUGAGAGGGGCCACUCCCCCACCCCAGCAGCAAUAAUAAUAAUAACGUUUAUGGUAAUAAAACUCCUUUUGCAUUGAAUUUAAAUAAACUGCAUUGCAAAAUGACUGAUCAUCAUAAGCAAUGUAAAAGAAGAAAUUUUAACAAGCAGUAAACUAUUUUGCUACUUUAUUCUGAAUGAUUUUAUGAAAACAGAUAUAUGUUACUUGAUACAAAAAUUGAAAGCUGUGAUUAACACAAUAUUAAGAUAUUCUUAAAACAUGGGUUGAAAUGCAAAUAAUUCCUGAUUUAAUAAAAAAAUGUAUUGUUAUAUUGGAAAAUGGAAAAUAAUAAUAUAAAGCAUAACUGUAGUUCAGAUAAUCCAUUGCUUUCAAAUACCAAUAAAGUUUAUUGUUGAAGUUACAUUGAUAUAAAGUUUUGCAUCUUCCACUUUAUUGUUGCUAAUACAAUCCCAUACAAUUAGGUUGGAUCUUAUCUUAAAUGUAUUUAUUACAACAUUAAAUAAAGUCCAUACAGUCUGAAAGGAAGAAGUAUAAACCACAAUAAAUGUAAUUAUUAAAUUCAUAUCUUACAAACUGAAUUGUUAAACUGUUAAUUAUAAAUAUUAUGAUGUUGAAAAUGUCUUGGAAGUUUGAGAACGGAAUAUAUAUGAAAUAUGAACAUAUAACUGAUCUUUUGAAGCAAUAAGUUUCCUAUUCUACAGAUGUUGAUUUCUGCCACUUUUAACCUUAUAAAAAAGACAAGCUAAAAUUAAAAGUUUUGGUUCUUCAAAUGUAAUUUGGGUGGUCUAUGUUAUCAGUUUACUAUUUCAAUUUUUCAAAAAUAUACCUUCCUUAGAU